Molecule: long non-coding RNA, 1080 nt
Organism: Cynoglossus semilaevis (tongue sole)
Lineage: Eukaryota; Metazoa; Chordata; Actinopteri; Pleuronectiformes; Cynoglossidae
Exons: 3
Source: RefSeq, a predicted model, not a curated record
AGAGCAAUCUACAAUCCUACAAAUAAACCGUAGAUGAAGUUUUUUAUUCAGUUGGAUUAAACUCAAAUGCAGAACAAACAACAGAACUCUAAUCUCCUGUUCUCCGGUUGGUAGUUUGCCUACAAAACCGUGUUAAACACGAUAGGAAGUGCAUCACUUUGCGAUUAAUAAGCACGAAGAACUCGGAUACGCCGUUUUGAAUAUCACACAUAAAUGUGUUGCAUGGUACGAGCGUUUUGUCUCUCCCCAUUAGUUCGACAUUGGACGUUCCACUACAUGAACACAUACAAUCGGGAGAAAGCUGCGGGCGGAAGAACCGCCCUCCUUCGUGACGCAUGGUUCGCUCUACGGUACGCCAUUUGUGUCUACCAGGAAAAGCGCGGACAGAGGAGAUUGUCGUAUAACAACGGAAAACUCAAUUCUGCAUUGAUUACAUUAUCUAACCUUCCAGUUGAGUGUAGUGUUCACAGUACAAACAAAUAUGGAUAAAACACACUCUCCAAGAAAUGAGUCUGAAAGUGACACGGGUCAGAAGGUACAGCCAGAUGAUGUGGAAAUGGAGGAAAGUACAAAGCACUCAGACGGUACUGCACAAUCUGAAACUGAAAAGUCAACUGAAGAAAGUGCAGCAGACUGUAAUGUCACGACUGCUGAAACUCACAAGGAAGAAGAGAUGAACAGGGACAGAAAUGUUGAGCUAAUUCAAGAACAGAGAUCUGAUAUUUUGAAUCUGAAUUCAGCUGUCAUUGCCACUGAAAGUGGCAUAAACACAGAGAGUACAAAGAAAGGACAACCUGUAGCAAACGUGCAUCAGGAUUCUCAAGCAGAGGGGAUCACUAGCCAACCAAGAAGAGUGAGCAAGCGGAAACCAAAACCUAAAAUUAUUUACUCUUGCAACUACUGUGGACAAGAAUUUAGAGAUAAGGCUCCUCUGGAUGUUCACGUUCAGAGAUACCACACCAAAGACACACCAUACACAUUUGACGCUGGGGUGACAAUGGAUGAUGAGGACUCUGAAGAAGCUGGGAGUUCUAUAAAGUCGAGUCCACCACGAGCAGCAUCCAAAAUUGAGCAAAGCAA